This 69-nucleotide transfer RNA is filed under the name Leiocephalus personatus (Haitian curlytail lizard). RNAcentral's name for it is "tRNA-Asp". The record is from RNAcentral. Lineage: Eukaryota; Metazoa; Chordata; Lepidosauria; Squamata; Leiocephalidae.
AAGACCUUAGUAAAAUAAUUACAUAGCCCUGUCAGAGCUAAAGUAUAAGCUCAUAACUUAUAGGUCUUA